UGCCCUGCAGCUCCUAUUCCUACCUCCUCGUGGUACUGGACGGGGGACCACCAACCUUAGGGAAGAUCGAGUAACCAAUCCCGGUGGGAACUCUAGUCGUAUGCUGACAGGGAAGG
Molecule: ribozyme, 116 nt
Filed under: Aedes aegypti (yellow fever mosquito)
Lineage: Eukaryota; Metazoa; Arthropoda; Insecta; Diptera; Culicidae
Description: drz-agam-1 ribozyme
Rfam family: drz-agam-1 ribozyme
Source: Rfam by way of RNAcentral